Xenopus tropicalis (tropical clawed frog) is the source of this 668-nucleotide long non-coding RNA. RefSeq lists it as uncharacterized. NCBI's taxonomy places the organism in Eukaryota, Metazoa, Chordata, Amphibia, Anura, Pipidae. The transcript has 4 exons. The record is from RefSeq and is a predicted model, not a curated record.
GUCUACUUCCUUGUGCCUGACGUCAUCACGCACGUCGUUACGUGUCAGUGGGCGCGGUCUCGCAAAACUUGUUAUUGGGAGUGGCGUACAGAAAAUAGAAACUGCGCCAUCAGGAGCAAUGCGCGUUCAUGUGGAUUUGGCGGGCUGCCUGGCUGCAGCGGGCACUCUCACAGCGCUGGGCCCACACUGCUCCCCUGGGUACUUUAUCCCUCAGUUCAGUCGGAUGCUGGGAGGGAUGCACCACAAAGAUGCGCUGCAGCGGCUGCCGGUUACUCUGCUUCAUGAUAUGAUCAUCGAGGGACUGAACAUCUCGUGCCCAGUGGCAUUCUGACUCCCAUCAUGCACAGUACCAUCAUGGAGAACACAUUUAUAUCCCACGGGUGUAUCAAACACAAUGGGAAUAGAGACACCAAGUGACAGAAAUGCUAAUGUAGCUAAUGUAGAGUCUGAUUCUGAACUAAGUGGAGCAGAGCAAAACAAAUAUGAAGAAAAUGGAAAUGUGGCAGAAUCUUCUAUUACUGAAGCCAGACUUCACUCCAAAGCAAAGCGCCGCCUGAGGAAGAAUUCCCCCCGGGACUCGGGGAGAGGCGAGUUCGGGGGAGUUCCAGAAAUCUGUCUUGCCCUGCCCCCGCCUUUCCCUGGUAGGGAGCAGAAGUUUUCUCUGGAGC